AUUGAACGCUGGCGGCAUGCUUUACACAUGCAAGUCGAACGGCAGCGCGGGCUUCGGCCUGGCGGCGAGUGGCGAACGGGUGAGUAAUGCAUCGGAACGUGCCCAGUAGUGGGGGAUAGCCCGGCGAAAGCCGGAUUAAUACCGCAUACGACCUGAGGGGGAAAGCGGGGGACCGAAAGGCCUCGCGCUAUUGGAGCGGCCGAUGUCGGAUUAGCUAGUUGGUGGGGUAAAGGCUUACCAAGGCGACGAUCCGUAGCUGGUCUGAGAGGACGAUCAGUCACACUGGGACUGAGACACGGCCCAGACUCCUACGGGAGGCAGCAGUGGGGAAUUUUGGACAAUGGGGGCAACCCUGAUCCAGCCAUGCCGCGUGCGGGAAGAAGGCCUUCGGGUUGUAAAGCGCUUUUGUUCGGGAAGAAAUGCUGUGGGCUAAUACCCCGGGGGGAUGACGGUACCGGAAGAAUAAGCACCGGCUAACUACGUG
RNAcentral lists this ribosomal RNA (484 nucleotides) under uncultured bacterium. RNAcentral's name for it is "partial 16S ribosomal RNA". It matches the Rfam family "Bacterial small subunit ribosomal RNA", at positions 28 to 507 of the family's 1533-position model. The record is from RNAcentral.